Molecule: ribosomal RNA, 437 nt
Filed under: uncultured bacterium
Lineage: Bacteria
Description: partial 16S ribosomal RNA
Rfam family: Bacterial small subunit ribosomal RNA
Source: RNAcentral
AGCGAACGCUGGCGGCAGGCUUAACACAUGCAAGUCGAGCGGGCAUCCUUGUGGUGUCAGCGGCAGACGGGUGAGUAACGCGUGGGAACGUGCCCUUCGGUUCGGAAUAACUCAGGGAAACUUGAGCUAAUACCGGAUACGUGCGAGAGCAGAAAGGUUUAUCUGCCGAAGGAUCGGCCCGCGUCUGAUUAGCUAGUUGGUGAGGUUACGGCUCACCAAGGCGACGAUCAGUAGCUGGUCUGAGAGGAUGAUCAGCCACACUGGGACUGAGACACGGCCCAGACUCCUACGGGAGGCAGCAGUGGGGAAUACUGGACAAUGGGGGCAACCCUGAUCCAGCCAUGCCGCGUGAGUGAUGACGGCCUUAGGGUUGUAAAGCUCUUUUCUCCGGGACGAUAAUGACGGUACCGGAGGAAUAAGCCCCGGCUAACUUCGUG